RNAcentral lists this ribosomal RNA (494 nucleotides) under uncultured bacterium. Its description in RNAcentral is "partial 16S ribosomal RNA". It matches the Rfam family "Bacterial small subunit ribosomal RNA", at positions 28 to 507 of the family's 1533-position model. The record is from RNAcentral.
GACGAACGCUGGCGGCGCGCUUAACACAUGCCAGUCGAACGGAAAGGCCUGCUUUCCCUUGUGGAUUGCGGGUACUCGAGUGGCGAACGGGUGAGUAACACGUGAGUGAUCUGCCCCCAACUUGGGUAUAAGCCUGGGAAACUGGGUCUAAUUCCCGAUAGGACUGCAGGGUGGUGCCUGUGGUGGAAAACGAUUUUCUAGUGGUUGGGGAUGAGCUCGCGGCCUAUCAGCUUGUUGGUGGGGUAAUGGCCUACCAAGGCGGCGACGGGUAGCCGGCCUGGGAGGGUGGACGGCAACAGUGGGACUGAGAUACGGCCCAGACUCCUACGGGAGGCAGCAGUGGGGAAUAUGGCACAAUGGGCGGAAGCCUGAUGCAGCGACGCCGCGUGGGGGAUGACGGCCUUCGGGUGGUAAACUCCUUUCGACCGCGAGGAAGCCACCUGGUUGGAAGGGUGGUGACGGUAGUGGUAGAAGAAGCACCGGCUAACUACGUG